This 780-nucleotide long non-coding RNA is filed under the name Nannospalax galili (Upper Galilee mountains blind mole rat). RNAcentral describes it as "lncRNA (ENSNGAG00000024549.1)". The record is from RNAcentral. Lineage: Eukaryota; Metazoa; Chordata; Mammalia; Rodentia; Spalacidae.
GGGCUUCAUGCAUACCCUGUGAUUGUGGGAACCUUAGAGCUUACCCUUUUUUCCAUAGUGAGCCCAAGCUGGCCUUCUUACUAAGACGGCCUUAGAGUUUCGACCUCUCACCUCAGUGCCCAGAAAAUACCUUUCCAACCAAUGGGACCUGAGAACACCCUGCUUUUAGCUCAUAAUGAAUAUGGUACCAAGCUGAAACCUAAAAUCAGGCCACCUGUCUUGAAUCUGGUCAAGAGAAAUGGAAUGUCUCUGUCUUUCAUUCAUAGACCUACUCAGCUGAACACACACUUGCAGACUCAACAAAGCUCAGGACACUCACUCAGCAGGGUUGAAGAGCAUUCUGAUUGCCAUCUGGACUCCAGAAGAUCCAAGUCAAGACCUCUUUAGAUCAACAUAUGCUGGAGGAGAACCUGAGCCAAAGAUCUCCAUGGAGCAUCUCAGAAGAAUUCUAAGAGUGUUGCCAUGCCUACCAUAUGGAUGAUGCACAUAUUCUAGACUGUGACGCAGAACUGGAAGUUGAUGAGUGAGUCCUGGGACCUUCUUUAUACAAGAGAGUUCAGGAUUUCUGUUUUCUGUCUAAGAGGGACUGGAAUCUUCAGCAAUCUAUUCAAAUCUCCCUGAGACUUCUCUCUCUCUCUCUGAAGAAUAAGCCCUGACACACUCCUCUUAUGUCCAAGAGUGCCUUGAUAUAGCUCCUCGUCAGACACAAGGGCUCUUCUAUCCAAGUGGGCAUCAGCCAUGCCCUGGCUCACCAAGGGAAACUGAAAAAUAAAUCAUGAA